UGGGGAAUAUUGGACAAUGGGCGCAAGCCUGAUCCAGCAAUGCCGCGUGAGUGAUGAAGGCCUUAGGGUUGUAAAGCUCUUUCGCACGCGACGAUGAUGACGGUAGCGUGAGAAGAAGCCCCGGCUAACUUCGUGCCAGCAGCCGCGGUAAUACGAAGGGGGUCUAGCGUUGUUCGGAAUUACUGGGCGUAAAGGGCGCGUAGGCGGCCUGUUUAGUCAGAAGUGAAAGCCCCGGGCUCAACCUGGGAAUAGCCUUUGAUACUGGCAGGCUUGAGUUCCGGAGAGGAUGGUGGAAUUCCCAGUGUAGAGGUGAAAUUCGUAGAUAUUGGGAAGAACACCGGUGGCGAAGGCGGCCAUCUGGACGGACACUGACGCUGAGGCGCGAAAGCGUGGGGAGCAAACAGGAUUAGAUACCCUGGAUAGUCCACGCCGUAAACGAUGAAUGCUAGACGUCGGGGUGCAUGCACUUCGGUGUCGCCGCUAACGCAUUAAGCAUUCCGCCUGGGGAGUACGGCCGCAAGGUUAAAACUCAAAUGAAUUGACGGGGUCAUAGCGUUUCCU
RNAcentral lists this ribosomal RNA (561 nucleotides) under uncultured bacterium. RNAcentral's name for it is "partial 16S ribosomal RNA". It matches the Rfam family "Bacterial small subunit ribosomal RNA", at positions 355 to 937 of the family's 1533-position model. The record is from RNAcentral.